CGGUGUUUAACUGGCGUGAUGUGGGACGUCCUACCGGUGGGCUUAGCCUCGCGAGGGGCGGCCCAACUAAUAUCCCGUCGCGGUGCUCUUUACUGAGUGUCGAGUCGGGCCGGUACGUUUACUUUGAACAAAUUAGAGUGCUUAAAGCAGGCUAUCCUCGCCUGAAUACUGCGUGCAUGGAAUAAUGGAAUAGGACCUCGGUUCUAUUUUGUUGGUUUUCGGAACCCCGAGGUAAUGAUUAAUAGGGACAGAUGGGGGCAUUCGUAUUGCGACGUUAGAGGUGAAAUUCUUGGAUCGUCGCAAGACGGACAGAAGCGAAAGCAUUUGCCAAAAAUGUUUUCAUUAAUCAAGAACGAAAGUUAGAGGUUCGAAGGCGAUCAGAUACCGCCCUAGUUCUAACCAUAAACGAUGCCAGCUAGCGAUCCGCCGAAGUUCCUCCGAUGACUCGGCGGGCAGCUUCCGGGAAACCAAAGCUUUUGGGUUCCGGGGGAAGUAUGGUUGCAAAGCUGAAACUUAAAGGAAUUGACGGAAGGGCACCACCAGGAGUGGAGCCUGCGGCUUAAUUUGACUCAACACGGGAAACCUCACCAGGCCCAGACACCGGAAGGAUUGACAGAUUGAUAGCUCUUUCUUGAUUCGGUGGGUGGUGGUGCAUGGCCGUUCUUAGUUGGUGGAGCGAUUUGUCUGGUUAAUUCCGAUAACGAACGAGACUCUACCCUGCUAAAUAGGCGUACCUUAUGGUAUCGCGAAGGCCCCCGGCUUCGGCCGGUGGGUUUUUACUACCAACGUACAAACAAAUCUUCUUAGAGGGCACAGGCGG
Molecule: ribosomal RNA, 820 nt
Filed under: uncultured eukaryote
Lineage: Eukaryota
Description: SSU rRNA
Rfam family: Eukaryotic small subunit ribosomal RNA
Source: RNAcentral